Molecule: ribosomal RNA, 465 nt
Filed under: Triticum aestivum (bread wheat)
Lineage: Eukaryota; Viridiplantae; Streptophyta; Magnoliopsida; Poales; Poaceae
Description: partial small subunit ribosomal RNA
Source: RNAcentral
AUGCUGCAACCGGUAGCAGGAGCUGUUGCGACCGACGACGAAAUUUGCUGCCUUGAGGCUGAUGGUAAUGGACAAGACGAGGGCGGACGCCUUGGUGCUACAACCAGCAUCCGGUGUUGCCGGAACGACAACCGCCAUUUGCUGCAACCGGCAAUCAUGCAACACAGAGAGGAAGAUACCGCGUGCUGGGAUCGGCCGUCACCCUGGGCGGCGACAAAAAGCUGCAACCAUUCGUUGGUAAAGCUUCAACCUCCUGAUGAAUUUCCUGGAACCAGUAUUCAAUUUUGCUUGAACUGGAUAAUUUUUUGCUACAAUCGAUCAACGAGAGUUCUUGCUGGUAAGUUGUUUUUGCUAGAACCGGUGUUCAAUUUUGCUAGAACUAUAUUUUGCUACAAUCGAUCACCCCGAGAGUUCUUCUUGAUGAGUUGUUUUGCUCGAACCAGUAUUCAAUUCUGCUGGAACUGA